This 468-nucleotide ribosomal RNA is filed under the name uncultured bacterium. RNAcentral's name for it is "partial 16S ribosomal RNA". It matches the Rfam family "Bacterial small subunit ribosomal RNA", at positions 28 to 507 of the family's 1533-position model. The record is from RNAcentral.
GACGAACGCUGGCGGCGUGCUUAACACAUGCCAGUCGAACGGAAAGGCCCUGCUUUUGUGGGGUGCUCGAGUGGCGAACGGGUGAGUAACACGUGAGUAACCUGCCCUUGACUUUGGGAUAACUUCAGGAAACUGGGGCUAAUACCGGAUAGGAGCUCCUGCUGCAUGGUGGGGGUUGGAAAGUUUCGGCGGUUGGGGAUGGACUCGCGGCUUAUCAGCUUGUUGGUGGGGUAGUGGCUUACCAAGGCUUUGACGGGUAGCCGGCCUGAGAGGGUGACCGGCCACAUUGGGACUGAGAUACGGCCCAGACUCCUACGGGAGGCAGCAGUGGGGAAUAUUGCACAAUGGGCGGAAGCCUGAUGCAGCAACGCCGCGUGCGGGAUGACGGCCUUCGGGUUGUAAACCGCUUUCGCCUGUGACGAAGCGUGAGUGACGGUAAUGGGUAGAGAAGCACCGGCUAACUACGUG